RNAcentral lists this ribosomal RNA (1245 nucleotides) under uncultured marine eukaryote. RNAcentral describes it as "SSU rRNA". It matches the Rfam family "Eukaryotic small subunit ribosomal RNA", at positions 386 to 1800 of the family's 1831-position model. The record is from RNAcentral.
UAGAAGGCGCCUGAGAAACGGCUACCACAUCUACGGAUGGCAGCAGGCGCGCAAAUUACCCAAUGCAGACACUGUGAGGUAGUGACGAGAAAUAAUAAAGCGGGACUUCUGUUUCGCUAUUAUAAUGAGUAACAACCAAAGGUCGUUACGAUUAGCAACUGAUGGGAAAGUCUGGUGCCAGCAGCCGCGGUAAUACCAGCGUCAGUAGCAUAUAUUAAAAUUGUUGCAGUUAAAACGUCCGUAGUCUGUACGUCGUCCCAAACUCACUGCAGUCUUGCGUCUUCUUCACUGAAUGCGCAAGUAUCUGCAGUCACUCCCUUGAUCAAAUUAGGUUGUUCAAGGUAGACAGAGUCUUCAUAUUUUCACAUGGAAUUGGGUGAGGGAACUUAAGAGUUUAAGUUUCUCGUCUUAGGAUCAUCCGGGGUCAUUCGUACUCGUCCGCGAGAGGUGGAAUUCUUGGACCGGACGAAGACGACCAGCAGCGAAAGCAUCUGUCAGGGAUGUUUUCUGCGACAAAGGACGAAGGUCAGGGUAUCGAAGACGAUUAGAUACCGUCGUAGUCCUGACUGUAAACUAUGCCAACUUGGGUCUUGCUGGGCUAAUGCUUUGUGAGACCCACACAGAAAUGAAAGUGUAUGGGUUCUGGGGGUAGUAUGGACACAAGUCUGAAACUUGAAGGAAUUGACGGAAGAGCACCAUAAGACGUGGAGCUUGCGGCUUAAUUUGACUCAACGCGGGAAAACUUACCAGGUCAAGACAUGGGCGUGAUUGACAGGCUAAUGACUUUUCUCGAUUCCAUGGAUGGUGGUGCAUGGUCGCACUUAGUUGGUGCAGUGAUUUGUCAGGUUUAUUCCGGUAACGAACGAGACCUCGGCCUUGUAAAUAGCUUUGCUGCUUACAGGGACAUUGGCGGCUACGCCAAGGAAGUUCGAGGCAAUUGCAGAUCUGGAAUGCCCUUAGAUGUCCUGGGUCGCACGCGUGCUACAAUGACGCCACGAGCGAGGUUGCGUGACGAAAGUUACGCAUAAUCAGCAGUCGGCGUCUUAAGGGACAGUCUCUUGACACUGUGGGACUCUAACUAGGAAUGUCUCGUAAGCACAAGUCAACAUCUUGUGUUGAUUACGUCCCUGCUCUUUGUACACACCGCCUGUCGCUCCUACCGAUCGAGUGUUUAGAUGAAUUUGAUGGACGUGAGGAAGUCAAAUAAAUCUGAGCACUUAGAGGAAGGAGAAGUCGUAACAAGGU